GGAAAAGCUGGAUUCUGCCCUGCCUCACUGGGUGUUGGGAAGGAAUGGGAAAUGCAGCCUGGACUCUUGUAUAUAUGGCACCUGCAUUCCAGGAGGUUCACAAAACUUUCUGUGCAUUGACAUGACUCAUGAGGUAGCAGAUCUGUGGAAAAACCUCUCUGCAGGAUUUUUUGUUUUGGAGCAGCCCUCUCCAGUUCAUCCCAGCCAUGGAGUGGUCCUGCAUUGCUGUCCUCUCCUUACAUCACAAAGGAAACCAGACAUCAUGUGCACUUUUUUAAUCUCCAGAUUGGGAAUACAUUUGAAGAUAAAUUUUGACAGCCGUCAACAGAUAAAGAUUUGCAUUGGGACAAGAACAUACCCCGGAAUUUUCAAGAUAAUUCAAUUUUAGAUUCAAUUUCUGCUUCAGAAACUAGCAUUUAUCAAUUCUACCAUAUUAAAAUUCAGGUCUGAAAAUAAAAUGAAGCCAGAAAGCA
This 473-nucleotide long non-coding RNA is filed under the name Cyanistes caeruleus (blue tit). Its description in RNAcentral is "lncRNA (ENSCCEG00000008831.1)". The record is from RNAcentral. Lineage: Eukaryota; Metazoa; Chordata; Aves; Passeriformes; Paridae.